CGUGGAGAGAGCGGACUUGGCUGGCGUGGUACAGAGAAGCCAGCUUGUUUACAUGCUACUCCAUG
Molecule: non-coding RNA, 65 nt
Organism: Ictidomys tridecemlineatus (thirteen-lined ground squirrel)
Lineage: Eukaryota; Metazoa; Chordata; Mammalia; Rodentia; Sciuridae
Source: Rfam